This 238-nucleotide ribosomal RNA is filed under the name uncultured bacterium. RNAcentral's name for it is "partial 16S ribosomal RNA". It matches the Rfam family "Bacterial small subunit ribosomal RNA", at positions 96 to 334 of the family's 1533-position model. The record is from RNAcentral.
CGGCGGACGGGUGAGUAACGCGUGGGUGACCUGCCCCAUACCGGGGGAUAACAGCUGGAAACGGCUGCUAAUACCGCAUAAGCGCACAGAGCUGCAUGGCUCGGUGUGAAAAACUCCGGUGGUAUGGGAUGGGCCCGCGUCUGAUUAGGCAGUUGGCGGGGUAACGGCCCACCAAACCGACGAUCAGUAGCCGACCUGAGAGGGUGACCGGCCACAUUGGGACUGAGACACGGCCCAA